This 698-nucleotide long non-coding RNA is filed under the name Manacus vitellinus (golden-collared manakin). Its description in RNAcentral is "lncRNA (ENSMVIG00005018583.1)". The record is from RNAcentral. Lineage: Eukaryota; Metazoa; Chordata; Aves; Passeriformes; Pipridae.
CAAUUUGGGGAGAAUCUAGGAGGGUCGUUCCUGUGUCUUCAUCCUCUGGCCCUUGGCCCAGCCUUCAUCAUCUUCAUGAAUUUUUGAACUUUCUUGAUUUUGGCAGACUUCAUGGUGAAUUUUGCAAGAUUCUUGGACUCAAGCCCCACUUUGCCCCAUUAUCUUACUUAGGUUGUGUGUGUGUGCAUUCUGUUUAGUGUACAGUACCACCUAAUCUCUAGUACCACCUAAUCUCUAUCUCUAGGUUCUGGCAGUACAUCCUAGCUGAGUAUUGGCAAAGUUCUUUGUGCUUUCGUUUAUACUUAUAUUCCUAUAUUCUGCUUAUAUUCCUAUAUUCUACUUAUAUUCCUAUAUUCUGACUUAUAUUCUGCUUUCUAGGCCUUGUCUGGCUUCAGUUCUUAGCGAUUUUCUUGGAUGCCUAGAUUCCAGCCAGGGUCAACCCGCAACAAGUGGAAUUUAUUACACGGAAAGUUCACGGAAGUGAUCAAACAUACAAGCUUUGGCAAGGAUAGGCCCUCAGACUGCUGUGGAAGUCUUCUGUGGAAAAAGUUAGUGAGACUUAAAUCUUCUACUGAUAAAAUCAGCGAGACCUACACCACUGGUGGUUGAAGAAGUACAACAAAGCCAUAUUUCUUGGAUAAAAUACAUCAAGUAAAGGUUCUUCUUGUGAAGAGGCUGGUUUUAAAGGCUGGUUGAUG